GCCAGAUCGUGCCACUGUGUUCCAGCCUGGGCAACAAAGCAAAACUCUUGUCUGAAAUAAAUAAAUAAAUAAACAAAAAACAACACAAGAAAGAGAGAGAGAAAGAAAGAAAAGAAGGAAGAAAAAAGAGAAAGAAAAUUAGAAUGGGAAGAAUUUCAGUUUUACAACUGUAACUGAUAAUUUUAAAUGUAUAUUUAUUGUAAAAUAAAACCCGGAUACAUAAUCCAAUGGAUCCAAUGUACGGCUUAACUAAUUACUACAAAGUGAACUGCCUCGGAGACCAAGAAAAAGAACUUUGCCAGCCACAGCAGAAGUCUCUCCACGCGCCCCACCCCAGUCACUCCUUCCUCUUCCAUAAGUAGUCAUCCUUAUUCUGACUCACAGGACGCACUGAUUGCAUUUUUAGCAGCAAGUCCGCUGGAGGUUGCGCAAGACCUCUCCGGCCAGACCCCUGGGGCGGGCUCAGCAGUCCUCCUCCACGCUCAAGAUGCAGUUUGAUGUAUCCGUAGAGGACGCAGUUUCAAGUUUCUCCAGAUAGAGAAGCGAAAGAGGAUCCGAAACCGCGCUUCACGUCGCUCUGGCAGAAAGCAGAAGCGCGGGGUUGAGGGCGCAGACCUGGGCAGAGGAGAGGCGCGCAGGGUCACGCAUGCUCCACUGAGCCGUGGGAAGUGUCCACAGCCAGCCAUGGGAGCCCUGUGGGUUCUGAAGCUGACAUUUCUGCUUUAGGUGCCUUAAGCUGAAGAAAUGCAUAGUAGAAGGAAUUGGAGUGCAGGCCUGCCAUUCCCCAGCUCUUUGAAGACAAGAUCAUGCAGAUACUUUUCAGCACACACGUCUGGUCUCCCUGGCAAGUGCCCAGCUCUGGGCCUGUACCCUCCCAGCAGCGCCACCCAAGGUGGCCAGCCUGAGCUCAUGAGCUGCUCACUGGGGUCCCUCCCCUGACCCUAACCCUGCUUCAGUCACCCACUA
RNAcentral lists this long non-coding RNA (966 nucleotides) under Piliocolobus tephrosceles (Ugandan red Colobus). RNAcentral's name for it is "lncRNA (ENSPTEG00000033654.1)". Lineage: Eukaryota; Metazoa; Chordata; Mammalia; Primates; Cercopithecidae. The record is from RNAcentral.